This 1542-nucleotide ribosomal RNA is filed under the name Escherichia coli. RNAcentral describes it as "bacterial SSU rRNA". It matches the Rfam family "Bacterial small subunit ribosomal RNA". The record is from RNAcentral. Lineage: Bacteria; Pseudomonadati; Pseudomonadota; Gammaproteobacteria; Enterobacterales; Enterobacteriaceae.
AAAUUGAAGAGUUUGAUCAUGGCUCAGAUUGAACGCUGGCGGCAGGCCUAACACAUGCAAGUCGAACGGUAACAGGAAGCAGCUUGCUGCUUCGCUGACGAGUGGCGGACGGGUGAGUAAUGUCUGGGAAACUGCCUGAUGGAGGGGGAUAACUACUGGAAACGGUAGCUAAUACCGCAUAAUGUCGCAAGACCAAAGAGGGGGACCUUCGGGCCUCUUGCCAUCGGAUGUGCCCAGAUGGGAUUAGCUUGUUGGUGGGGUAACGGCUCACCAAGGCGACGAUCCCUAGCUGGUCUGAGAGGAUGACCAGCCACACUGGAACUGAGACACGGUCCAGACUCCUACGGGAGGCAGCAGUGGGGAAUAUUGCACAAUGGGCGCAAGCCUGAUGCAGCCAUGCCGCGUGUAUGAAGAAGGCCUUCGGGUUGUAAAGUACUUUCAGCGGGGAGGAAGGGAGUAAAGUUAAUACCUUUGCUCAUUGACGUUACCCGCAGAAGAAGCACCGGCUAACUCCGUGCCAGCAGCCGCGGUAAUACGGAGGGUGCAAGCGUUAAUCGGAAUUACUGGGCGUAAAGCGCACGCAGGCGGUUUGUUAAGUCAGAUGUGAAAUCCCCGGGCUCAACCUGGGAACUGCAUCUGAUACUGGCAAACUUGAGUCUCGUAGAGGGGGGUAGAAUUCCAGGUGUAGCGGUGAAAUGCGUAGAGAUCUGGAGGAAUACCGGUGGCGAAGGCGGCCCCCUGGACGAAGACUGACGCUCAGGUGCGAAAGCGUGGGGAGCAAACAGGAUUAGAUACCCUGGUAGUCCACGCCGUAAACGAUGUCGACUUGGAGGUUGUGCCCUUGAGGCGUGGCUUCCGGAGCUAACGCGUUAAGUCGACCGCCUGGGGAGUACGGCCGCAAGGUUAAAACUCAAAUGAAUUGACGGGGGCCCGCACAAGCGGUGGAGCAUGUGGUUUAAUUCGAUGCAACGCGAAGAACCUUACCUGGUCUUGACAUCCACGGAAGUUUUCAGAGAUGAGAAUGUGCCUUCGGGAACCGUGAGACAGGUGCUGCAUGGCUGUCGUCAGCUCGUGUUGUGAAAUGUUGGGUUAAGUCCCGCAACGAGCGCAACCCUUAUCCUUUGUUGCCAGCGGUCCGGCCGGGAACUCAAAGGAGACUGCCAGUGAUAAACUGGAGGAAGGUGGGGAUGACGUCAAGUCAUCAUGGCCCUUACGACCAGGGCUACACACGUGCUACAAUGGCGCAUACAAAGAGAAGCGACCUCGCGAGAGCAAGCGGACCUCAUAAAGUGCGUCGUAGUCCGGAUUGGAGUCUGCAACUCGACUCCAUGAAGUCGGAAUCGCUAGUAAUCGUGGAUCAGAAUGCCACGGUGAAUACGUUCCCGGGCCUUGUACACACCGCCCGUCACACCAUGGGAGUGGGUUGCAAAAGAAGUAGGUAGCUUAACCUUCGGGAGGGCGCUUACCACUUUGUGAUUCAUGACUGGGGUGAAGUCGUAACAAGGUAACCGUAGGGGAACCUGCGGUUGGAUCACCUCCUUA